UGGGGAAUUUUGGACAAUGGGCGAAAGCCUGAUCCAGCCAUACCGCGUGCGGGAAGAAGGCCUUCGGGUUGUAAACCGCUUUUGUCAGGGAAGAAAUCUUCUGGGCUAAUACCUCGGGAGGAUGACGGUACCUGAAGAAUAAGCACCGGCUAACUACGUGCCAGCAGCCGCGGUAAUACGUAGGGUGCAAGCGUUAAUCGGAAUUACUGGGCGUAAAGCGUGCGCAGGCGGUUCCAUAAGACAGAUGUGAAAUCCCCGGGCUCAACCUGGGAACUGCAUUUGUGACUGUGGAGCUAGAGUACGGUAGAGGGGGAUGGAAUUCCGCGUGUAGCAGUGAAAUGCGUAGAUAUGCGGAGGAACACCAAUGGCGAAGGCAAUCCCCUGGACCUGUACUGACGCU
Molecule: ribosomal RNA, 400 nt
Filed under: uncultured bacterium
Lineage: Bacteria
Description: bacterial SSU rRNA
Rfam family: Bacterial small subunit ribosomal RNA
Source: RNAcentral